RNAcentral lists this ribosomal RNA (473 nucleotides) under uncultured bacterium. RNAcentral's name for it is "bacterial SSU rRNA". It matches the Rfam family "Bacterial small subunit ribosomal RNA", at positions 36 to 518 of the family's 1533-position model. The record is from RNAcentral.
CUGGCGGCGUGCCUAACACAUGCAAGUCGAACGAGCGAGAGAUGAAACCUAGUGAUUCUCGAGCGAGUGGCGGACGGGUGAGUAACGCGUGGGCAACCUGCCUUACAGAGGGGGAUAACAGUCUGAAAAGACUGCUAAUACCGCAUAAGCACACAGUACCGCAUGGUACAGGGUGAAAAGAUUUUAUCACUGUAAGAUGGACCCGCGUCUGAUUAGCCAGUUGGCAGGGUAACGGCCUACCAAAGCGACGAUCAGUAGCCGACCUGAGAGGGUGAUCGGCCACAUUGGGACUGAGACACGGCCCAAACUCCUACGGGAGGCAGCAGUGGGGGAUAUUGCACAAUGGAGGAAACUCUGGUGCAGCCGACGCCGCGUGAGUGAAGAAGUAUUUCGGUAUGUAAAGCUCUAUCAGCAGGGAAGAUAAUGACAGUACCUGACCAAGAAGCCCCGGCUAACUACGUGCCAGCCGCCGC